GACGAACGCUGGCGGCGUGCUUAACACAUGCAAGUCGAACGGAAAGGCCCUGCUUUUGUGGGGUUCUCGAGUGGCGAACGGGUGAGUAACACGUGAGUAACCUGCCCUUGACUUUGGGAUAACUUCACGAAACUGGGGCUAAUACCGGAUAGGAGCUCCUGCUGCAUGGUGGGGGUUGGAAAGUUUCGGCGGUUGGGGAUGGACUCGCGGCUUAUCAGCUUGCUGGUGGGGUAGUGGCUGACCAAGGCUGUGACGGGUAGCCGGCCUGGGAGGGUGGCCGGCCACCAUGGGACUGCGGUAGGGACCAGUCUCCUACGGGAGGCAGCAGUCGGGAGCAUUGCACAGUGAGCGCGAGCCUGAUGCGGCGGCGUCGCGUGCGGGAUGACGGCCUUCGGGUUGUGAACCGCUUUCGCCUGUGACGAAGCGUGAGUGACGGUACUGGGUAAAGAAGCACCGGCUAACUACGUG
This 468-nucleotide ribosomal RNA is filed under the name uncultured bacterium. RNAcentral describes it as "partial 16S ribosomal RNA". It matches the Rfam family "Bacterial small subunit ribosomal RNA", at positions 28 to 507 of the family's 1533-position model. The record is from RNAcentral.